AACCUAGCACACCUGCGGUGUGUACCUGCGGAGGGAUCAUUACAUGAUUUAACAGGGAGUGGAGGCUUCGGCCAAAGCUCUGUCUGAACCCAUGUCUUUUGCGUACUUCUUGUUUCCUCGGUGGGCUUGCCCGCCGAUAGGACAACCUUAAACUCUUUGCAAUUGCAAUCAGCGUCUGAAAAACUAUAAUAGUUACAACUUUCAGCAAUGGAUCU
RNAcentral lists this unclassified non-coding RNA (215 nucleotides) under soil metagenome. RNAcentral's name for it is "partial contains 5.8S ribosomal RNA, internal transcribed spacer 2, and large subunit ribosomal RNA". The record is from RNAcentral.